CCAGCAUCUGAAAGGAAUUAACUUAAAUAGACAUGCGAGUUGGAGGCCAGGAGUGGAGGUCCAACCUACAACUUCAAGUCAAAUGGAAGAAAGUAACACUCUUGGAACUCCAAGACCUUGUUUUCAGACCUGUGAGCAACGUGUCCCACCAAACUCU
This is a long non-coding RNA of Esox lucius (northern pike), 157 nucleotides long. RefSeq lists it as uncharacterized. The transcript has 3 exons. The record is from RefSeq and is a predicted model, not a curated record. Lineage: Eukaryota; Metazoa; Chordata; Actinopteri; Esociformes; Esocidae.